This 779-nucleotide long non-coding RNA is filed under the name Medicago truncatula (barrel medic). Its description in RNAcentral is "long non-coding RNA (MTRU_LNC002379)". Lineage: Eukaryota; Viridiplantae; Streptophyta; Magnoliopsida; Fabales; Fabaceae. The record is from RNAcentral.
AAUAUUCCAACAUUUACUUACUGAAACUCCCACGGCAGUUUCAUAUAUAUAUAUAUAGUUGUUAGAAUCUUGGUACACAAGUCAUGAUUACCCACUUUAGCUUUUGAAUAAUGGAAGAAGCUAGGAUCCUUUUUGUGUCUGUCAUAUCCAAGCAUGUAUGUCAGGCAUAUGCAUAAUAAUGCAUGCAGUAUAUGAAUUCAUAUCAUAUGUACAUAUACAGAACACUUUUUCUAGACGCAUGGCAAGCAACAAAGAUGAAUUAGGAAUAUGAAGAUCGCAUGUGAAUUCAAGAAAGAAAUACUACUACUAGUGCUUGAAACUUGAAAGAUGGUGUUGGCAAGUUGGGAAACAAAAUGGGACCCUUAUGCACCACUCCAUUGUUGAAGGGUCAUUCUCAAUUCCUAACUUUAUGUUCGUCAAAGUCAAAUUUCUCCAACAUCGUUCAUCAUUCUCAAAGAGCCACGGAUGGAUUAAAGAGAAAUUUAAUUUGGUCCCUCUCUUUGUCUUCACUAUAUGUGUUGUAAAAGAAAAUUAAUAAGACUUGAAUGGCACGCACCAAAAGCUACUUUUUCUGCAAACGCGUAUAUGUUUCUAUGUGUUUUUGAUUCCUUCUAUCCAAAUUCAAAUCCUCAUUGCAUGCUUGCUACUAUCAUUUGAUUUUCUAGAUGCACACGUGCUAGGGUUAUUUGCAUUCAUACUCCAUCUAUAUCUUUAAAUUUUUCAUGAGUACAUGCAAGUGAUUAAUAUCAUCUUAAUUAAUAAAGGCGUGAUUACUUAAA